GUAGCAAGGUUAAGCACUUAAGGUGUGGAGCCGUAGCGAAAGCGAGUUUUAACUGAGCGUUCAGUUACUUGACGUAGACCCGAAACCGGGCGACCUACCCAUGAGCAGGAUGAAGCGAAAGUAAAAUGUCGUGGAGGUCCGAACCCACGAGCGUUGAAAAGCUCGGGGAUGACUUGUGGGUAGCGGUGAAAUUCCAAUCGAGCCCGGAGAUAGCUGGUUCUCCCCGAAAUAGCUUUAGGGCUAGCCUCAAGGUGAGAGAUACGGAGGUAGAGCACUGAAUGUCCUAGGGGGUAUUGCACCUACCGAAGACUAUCAAACUCCGAAUGCCGUCAUCUUAUACUUGGGAGUCAGACUGUGGGUGAUAAGAUUCAUAGUCGAAAGGGCAACAGCCCAGAUCGUCAGCUAAGGUCCCUAAAUGUAAGUUAAGUGGUAAAGGAUGUGGGAUUGCACAGACAACCAGGAUGUUGGCUUAGAAGCAGCCACUCAUUCAAAGAGUGCGUAAUAGCUCACUGGUCGAGUGAUCCUGCGCCGAAGAUUUCCGGGGCUAAAACUUACUACCGAAGCUACGGCAUCAGUAAUGAUGGGUAGGGGAGCUUCCCAUACGGGUUGAAGCAUGACCGUAAGGACAUGUGGACAGUAUGGGAGUGAGAAUGUUGGCAUGAGUAGCGAGAUGUGGGUG
Molecule: ribosomal RNA, 679 nt
Filed under: Clostridioides difficile
Lineage: Bacteria; Bacillati; Bacillota; Clostridia; Peptostreptococcales; Peptostreptococcaceae
Description: bacterial LSU rRNA
Rfam family: Bacterial large subunit ribosomal RNA
Source: RNAcentral